Molecule: ribosomal RNA, 499 nt
Filed under: uncultured bacterium
Lineage: Bacteria
Description: partial 16S ribosomal RNA
Rfam family: Bacterial small subunit ribosomal RNA
Source: RNAcentral
ACUCAAAGGAAUAGACGGGGGCCCGCACAAGCGGUGGAGCAUGUGGUUUAAUUCGACGCAACGCGAAGAACCUUACCUGGGCUCGAAAUGCUUACGACCAUCUUUGGAAACAGAGACUUCCCGCAAGGGACGUGAGUAUAGGUGCUGCAUGGCUGUCGUCAGCUCGUGUCGUGAGAUGUUGGGUUAAGUCCCGCAACGAGCGCAACCCUUGUCCUGUGUUGCCAUCAUUAAGUUGGGAACUCGCAGGAGACCGCCAGGGAUAACCUGGAGGAAGGUGGGGAUGACGUCAAGUCCUCAUGGCCUUUAUGUCCAGGGCUACACACGUGCUACAAUGGACGGUACAAAGCGCUGCCAACCCGCGAGGGGGAGCCAAUCGCAAAAAACCGUUCUCAGUUCGGAUUGCAGGCUGCAACUCGCCUGCAUGAAGCUGGAAUCGCUAGUAAUGGCAGAUCAGAACGCUGCCGUGAAUACGUUCCCGGGCCUUGUACACACCGCCCGU